UUUCUCCGGUCGCUGCUGCCACCACCGUUGCUUCGCGGGCUGGGAGGCCCGGGGUCCCCGGGCGAACAGAGGCUGCGGUGGACUGACGCCGCAGGGGCGAGCUAGCCGGCUCCGCGCCUCUCCGCGGGAUCCAGACGCCUCCUGGGGCUGCCGGCGGAGGGUCUGAGGCGGCGCGGCCAUGGCUCACCUCCGGGGAUUUGCCAACCAGCACUCUCGAGUGGACCCUGAAGAGCUCUUCACCAAGCUUGACCGCAUUGGCAAGGGCUCCUUUGGGGAAGUCUACAAGGGCAUUGAUAACCACACGAAGGAGGUGGUGGCCAUCAAGAUCAUCGACCUGGAGGAGGCCGAGGAUGAGAUCGAGGACAUCCAGCAGGAGAUCACCGUCCUCAGCCAGUGCGACAGCCCCUACAUCACCCGCUACUUUGGCUCCUACCUAAAGGGUUCUUGGCAGGGAUGGGACCGGUGGGGCCUGUGCCU
Molecule: small RNA, 477 nt
Filed under: Pongo abelii (Sumatran orangutan)
Lineage: Eukaryota; Metazoa; Chordata; Mammalia; Primates; Hominidae
Description: processed transcript
Source: RNAcentral